RNAcentral lists this long non-coding RNA (424 nucleotides) under Lathyrus oleraceus (garden pea). RNAcentral describes it as "Pisum sativum (pea) long non-coding RNA (PSAT_LNC030995)". The record is from RNAcentral. Lineage: Eukaryota; Viridiplantae; Streptophyta; Magnoliopsida; Fabales; Fabaceae.
UUAAUUCAAAAUAAAAAAAUAAAAAAAACAACAAGGAUAAACCCGUGAACAUGGAGUUAUGAAAAAUAAAUAUAGACAUAUAGGAAUCAAAACCCAACUUUAAAACUCUAAUUCUAAAGUAAUAAUAGGUAAUAAUAAUGAUAUAGAUAAUACAAAAUAAAUAAAAAUUAAAAAGAAGAAGACAAAGGGGAUGCGCCCCAUUCUUUGCCAGGCUGUGACUUUUUCAAAAUCUAAUUGUCUUAAAAUAUGUGGUAGCCUUAAAAAUAAAUAAAUAAAUGAUACCAAGUCUCUCCAUUAUUAUUAAAACACAAGUAAUAUCAUAGGUAAAGAAUAAAUCUCUUGGAUCAUAUAUUUUGAAAAGUCAUAGCAAAGCAAUAUUUGAAAACUUAAAUUCCAUCUUCUUCUCUCAUUAGCCUAAACUAAA